GAGGGGUGCAAACGUUAUUCGGAUUUACUGGGUGUAAAGGGUGUGUAGACGGCUUGUUAAGUUCGUUGUUAAAUCUUCCGGGCCUAACCGGGAAGCUCGCGAUGGAAACUGGCAGGCUUGAGGGUGAGAGAGAGAAGUGGAAUUCUCGGAGUAGCGGUAAAAUGCGUAGAUCUCGAGAGGAACACCGAUGGCGAAGGCAGCUUCUUGGCUCACUCCUGACGUUGAGACACGAAAGCGUGGGGAGCAAACAGGAUUAGAUACCCUGGUAGUCCACGCUGUAAACGAUGAUCACUGGAUGUCGGCUUUGCUUUGCAAGGUCGGUAUCGUAGCUAACGCGUUAAGUGAUCCACCUGGGAACUACGGUCGCAAGAUUA
RNAcentral lists this ribosomal RNA (374 nucleotides) under uncultured organism. Its description in RNAcentral is "partial 16S ribosomal RNA". It matches the Rfam family "Bacterial small subunit ribosomal RNA", at positions 527 to 896 of the family's 1533-position model. The record is from RNAcentral.